This 253-nucleotide ribosomal RNA is filed under the name uncultured bacterium. RNAcentral describes it as "partial 16S ribosomal RNA". It matches the Rfam family "Bacterial small subunit ribosomal RNA", at positions 524 to 776 of the family's 1533-position model. The record is from RNAcentral.
UACGUAGGGUGCGAGCGUUAAUCGGAAUUACUGGGCGUAAAGCGUGCGCAGGCGGUUUUGUAAGUCAGAUGUGAAAUCCCCGGGCUUAACCUGGGAACUGCGUUUGAAACUACAAGGCUAGAGUGUAGCAGAGGGGGGUGGAAUUCCGCGUGUAGCAGUGAAAUGCGUAGAGAUGCGGAGGAACACCGAUGGCGAAGGCAGCCCCCUGGGCUGACACUGACGCUCAGGCACGAAAGCGUGGGGAGCAAACAGG